Molecule: microRNA precursor, 67 nt
Filed under: Bombyx mori (domestic silkworm)
Lineage: Eukaryota; Metazoa; Arthropoda; Insecta; Lepidoptera; Bombycidae
Description: mir-2774 microRNA precursor family
Rfam family: mir-2774 microRNA precursor family
Source: Rfam by way of RNAcentral
ACAACGUUGGGUUCGUCGGUCUACCGAACAUUAUCACCCGCUCGGUGGAAGAUCUUCCUUUCAUCGU